This 451-nucleotide ribosomal RNA is filed under the name uncultured Myxococcales bacterium. RNAcentral describes it as "bacterial SSU rRNA". It matches the Rfam family "Bacterial small subunit ribosomal RNA", at positions 354 to 796 of the family's 1533-position model. Lineage: Bacteria; Pseudomonadati; Myxococcota; Myxococcia; Myxococcales. The record is from RNAcentral.
GUGGGGAAUUUUGCGCAAUGGGGGAAACCCUGACGCAGCAACGCCGCGUGGGUGAUGAAGGCCCUUGGGUCGUAAAGCCCUGUCGGGUGGGAAGAAUCCCUUGGCGGCGAAUAGUCGCCAAGGAUGACGGUACCACUAGAGGAAGCACCGGCUAACUCUGUGCCAGCAGCCGCGGUAAUACAGAGGGUGCAAGCGUUGUUCGGAAUCACUGGGCGUAAAGCGCGUGUAGGCGGCCGAUUGUGUCGAGUGUGAAAGCCCUCGGCUUAACCGAGGAAGUGCACUCGAAACUGGUCGGCUUGAGUACCGGAGAGGAAGGUGGAAUUCCCGGUGUAGAGGUGAAAUUCGUAGAUAUCGGGAGGAACACCAGUGGCGAAAGCGACCUUCUGGACGGAUACUGACGCUGAGACGCGAAAGCGUGGGGAGCAAACAGGAUUAGAUACCCCAGUAGUCC